GGACACGCCGUGACACCCUCAUUUACAGCACUGAGCGUGUCACUCGGGCGGCACGUGGGCCGGGAGGGGGAGAGUCCAGGAAAGGAGAGAUGAGCUGGCUGUCAGGAUUGCAGCGUCUUCAACUGCAGCAGCUCAGGGGCACCCUGCUACCGGGGAGGACAGGUGUCACCUGCGUGUUGAAGGAAGAGGAGAAGAGACACAGAGACAGGGACACGUGGAGAGGUGAAUGCCGUGUGAUGACAUAGACACACGGAAGGAAGAUGACCAUGUGACAAUGGAACCAGAGAGUGGAGGUACGCAGCCGCCACAGCCAGAGGACACCGAGAACUGCUGGCAGCCGCCACAAGCCAGGAGGGAGGCUGGGGCAGGGCACUCUCUCUGAGUCCCUGGACCCAGCCCUGCUGACACCUGGAUUUUGGACUUUUGGUGUCCAGAACGGGUAGAAUAAAUGUCUGUUGUUUGAAGCCA
Molecule: long non-coding RNA, 468 nt
Organism: Microcebus murinus (gray mouse lemur)
Lineage: Eukaryota; Metazoa; Chordata; Mammalia; Primates; Cheirogaleidae
Source: RefSeq, a predicted model, not a curated record